RNAcentral lists this long non-coding RNA (1623 nucleotides) under Onthophagus taurus. RNAcentral's name for it is "uncharacterized LOC111419292, transcript variant X1". The record is from RNAcentral. Lineage: Eukaryota; Metazoa; Arthropoda; Insecta; Coleoptera; Scarabaeidae.
AUUUUCAAGGCCCUGGACGAGAUUUUAUCCAUCCUAAAAAAAUCCGGGGUAGAUUAAAGACCAUUCAACAAAGUGUUUAGCUGGUACAAAAGGCAUUUUAACGACCUUCGCGGGAUAAGUCUUUUCCCUGAUUUUCAAGUAUUCAGCUGGUACAAAAGGCAUUUUAACGAUCUUCGCGGGAUAAAUCUUCUCCCUGAUGUUCAAGUAUUUAGCUGGUACAAAGGGCAUUUUAACGACCUUCGCGGGAUAAAUCUUCUCCCUGAUUUUCAAGGGUAAAGAAUUAAGAAGAAAGAACUCUUAAUAUCCAAGAUAUUGUUAAGACUGUCUCUUAGAACUCAUCAGCGAUGCCAUCAACACCUUUACUCAGCCUUUUCAUGAAUCCAAUGCAUCAUUUCAACGUCAUUCAACAUCAUCAACAGUUAAAAGAGAACAAAUCGCAAUUUCACAAUAAUUAUAGUUUUAAUGAACUUUAUCUCCGCAAUUUGGGGCCACGGUACGCUAAAAAUGGAUUUCUUCAAGUACGCGAGGUUGAGACAGUCACACUCUUUACAAAUGGGUGUGUUCGCCAGCUUCAUGUAGAACCGCUGAACAGGUUUAAUUAAAACUUACCUUCCUCUUGAAGUUGUUCAUCUCCUGAGAGCGAACUAAAACCCCCUUCAGUUUCAUACGUGACCAUCUGUAGCGACCGAAAAUCUCUCGAGAGGAAACUUCGCUUCUUUCUUUAAGAUGUUGCGUGGUUUUGACUUUUCUCCGAUUGCUACCUGUUUUGUCACAUGAAAACGUCUUGAAGAUCGCUGGGGAUUUUUGUGUUCGCCCUUAAAGCGAGCUCAUCUUCGAAUGUGACCAUUUUUUCAACGCGGGGUUUUGGCGGAGGCUUUCUGGGCAUUCUCACUGUUAAUGGGAGGAUGUUUUGCGUGGAUUGGAGCGUUUCGGAGGUGCAGGAGAGAUCGAAUUCGCUCAUUGAUCUGGAUUCGAGGAGGUGAUCCCGCAGAGUUUCCCGUAGAAUUUUCGAAAAGUUCUAGCGAGGACGUCGCCCGUCGUUGAGAGGAGGAGUUACCCCACCUUCGAGUGCCAUAAAAGUGAACGCGCCCAAAACGGUGUAAGCCAAAACCAAGAAACAAACUCCCAAAGUUGCCAAAAUUGAUGUUGAAGAUCUCGCGCUGGGAAUCGUGUAACAGCAACACAAGAAAGUUUCCGAUGCGUUUGGGGAUGGAAGCGGCGAUGGUUGUUGCUGUUGUUGUUGGUGAUGCGGAUAGGGGGAGGUUACUUCGCCGCCUCGAUGGAGUUCGUAACAACAAGAUUUUGUUGGUGCUGGACUACCCGGGGGCGAAAUUCGACGGAUAUAAGGGGAUCGCGGAAAUCCCGGGGCCUAAGGAAGGAAUGGCAUAUGGCUAUAACAGUUGAUUGCCAAACAGCAAAGACGUUUUCGAGAUAAAGAGCUCCAAUAUAUUUGUAUAAUAUAUGGAGAACAAGAUAUAACCAAGAACUAUACGCUUACUACAGGGAGUCAGAAGCACCUGCCUAACAGGAUAAUGCAAGGAGCGUGACUUAGACGAAGAAUGACAGCAAGAUAUGCGCGGGUCCAGAAGUUAAAGAGAUUUGGGGGCCGAAACGAUUUAUGGU